UUAGAAGAGUUGGAUUUUACAGGAUGCAAAUCAAUGGAGACUUUGCCAAAUUUGACAGGAUUUGAGAAGCUACGAUCUCUAAUAGUUCGAGACUGCAAGAAACUUGCUCAGCUUCGGGACUUGAAAUGUUGAAUUUAACUUAUUUGGAUAUUUCUGGUUGUGACUCAUUGGAAGCAAUACCUAACUUAUCUAGAACGCACGUCAAUAGAAAUUAUGAACUACGUCCCUAGUUUAAGUUUUAGUUCUCUUUGGAAACAUUAUCUUGCGGUGAUAAUGAUGUAAUAAAUCUUACACCCAUAUUACAACAGUGAGAGGAGUAAUGUUUCUUCAACAAAGGGUCUAAAUUGCUAGUCUUACAUUAUUGAAGGAGUGGGGGAGUUGGCCAGAAGCUGACGUGAUGUUUCAGCCAAGAUCAAAAUGUAGACCCAAUAGAAGGCAUAGUUUGGUUGGUCUAUGCAAUGAUCAAGACUUACUUUGGGACUUCAAUUCAGUCAACCAUGUCGAUGACCUUUUGCAUAAUUAGACAAUUUUUGCCCGGUCUGUGAAACAAGCUGGGAUGAGGGGCUCAAGAAUUUGCUAAUUGGUUUGCAUCGCAUUUGAUCCUAUUGCUGCCGUGGAAUUGUUUUAUCAUCUGAUUUGGGUGUGGCUAGCUUGGCUGAGGAACUUCAAAUUCCAUACUUGAGACCAAUCAAAAUGAAGAAAAGGGAUUUUGCGGAGGAAGCAUCAGCAACAGCUGAGGACCAUCUUGUGUGCCAACCUUGAAGAUGUUCUAGGGGCAACUGGAGUGUCCAAAGGAAGGUUUGAUUUGUGUGAAUGUUCAAACAUUUGAUCUUGUCUCAACAACACAUACCUGAACGAUUGUAAAUAGUUGCUUGAUACAGUUGCAUUCUAAUGAUAUCACUCCUGAACUUGAUGAGGCUCUGAAGGGGGAGGUAUGCACUGCUAGUUGUACCAUGAAAGACUAACUUGUGUGCUGAUACUCUAUGAGCUGUGGAAUUUCACUUGAAAUUAGGACACAAAUUGAAGCUGCAUUCCAUGAAACCCGGAGAAAGUCCCAAAACACUGCAGGAAUGAGCUAUGUCAUUAUGGAAAUGCAUCCUGAAAUUCCUUGCUAAUGGCGUUUAUCAUGUGCUCUGUGUUGUUAAUACUCUUCAAAGGAUUCUUGAUAUAAAGCAACCUCUUCUCAUGUGGUGUUUUAGUCCUGUGCAACCUUUGGCAUUGUCCUCUCCUUUGGCAAAGGCUGAAUGACAAAUCACUUUCAGGAAGACUGCAUGUGCAGCUGAGGACCAUUUUCUGUGCCAACCUUGAAGACGCUCUGGGGCCAACUGGAGUGUCCUGAGGAAGUUUUGAUGCUUGUGAAUAUUCGAACACUUGAUCAUGUCUCAACAAGUUGUUUGAUAAAGUUGCAUUCUAAAUAUAUCACUCCUCAACUCGCUGAGGCUCUGAAGGGAGAGAUUCAAGCUGCAAUUUAUUUAACUCAGAGAAAGUCCCCAAACACCAUGGGAUGGAGAUGCGAGCAGGAAUGAGCUUUGUCAUUAUGGAAAGUCAUCCUGAAGUUCUAUCCUGUUGGCGUUUGUGUUGUUAGUACUCUUCAAAGGAUUCUGGAUGUGAGGUGACCUCUUCUCAUAUGGUGCAUUAGGCCUUGGCGAGCUUUCACAUCGUGCUAUUCUUUAGCAAAGGCCGAAUCACAAAUUGCUUGCUGGAAGAAUGCAUUUGCAGGUUAAGCAUAAAAUGAGAUUUGCUAACAAGAUUACCAGUUAGAUGUCCACUUCAAGCUAUAAUUUUGUGGCGGAGAGAUUCUUUUCGUGGAAAAAGCGAAUGCCAUGGAAUUAGCAAAUAAUUUGUCAAUUGCAGGCAAGAGUUUCAAUGAUAAUGUUUCCAAGAAGACAGUAGUUUUCUCAUUUGAAAGAAUUUUGAACACGAAAUAAAGCGCUCGUCAAUGUAAAAUCAUCUUCCUAGUCUGGUUACAUUGAAAAAUCAUAUGUAGGCAUUUUGCAAUCGUUUUGAUCGUAUAAUCUCAAACUUGAUUUAUUUAAGCAUGAAUCUAAAAGUAGAAGAGCCACAUCCAUGUA
Eucalyptus grandis is the source of this 2072-nucleotide long non-coding RNA. RefSeq lists it as uncharacterized. The transcript is spliced from 8 exons. The record is from RefSeq and is a predicted model, not a curated record. NCBI's taxonomy places the organism in Eukaryota, Viridiplantae, Streptophyta, Magnoliopsida, Myrtales, Myrtaceae.